UUGAACGCUGGCGGCAGGCCUAACACAUGCAAGUCGAAUGGUAACAGGAAACAGCUUGCUGUUUCGCUGACGAGUGGCGGACGGGUGAGUAAUGUCUGGGAAACUGCCUGAUGGAGGAGGAUAACUACUGGAAUCGGUAGCUAAUACCGCAUAACGUCGCAAGACCAAAGAGGGGGACCUUCGGGCCUCUUGCCAUCAGAUGUGCCCAGAUGGGAUUAGCUAGUAGGUGGGGUAACGGCUCACCUAGGCGACGAUCCCUAGCUGGUCUGAGAGGAUGACCAGCCACACUGGAACUGAGACACGGUCCAGACUCCUACGGGAGGCAGCAGUGGGGAAUAUUGCACAAUGGGCGCAAGCCUGAUGCAGCCAUGCCGCGUGUAUGAAGAAGGCCUUCGGGUUGUAAAGUACUUUCAGCGGGGAGGAAAGGAGUAAAGUUAAUACCUUUGCUCAUUGACGUUACCCGCAGAAGAAGCACCGGCUAACUCCGUG
This 489-nucleotide ribosomal RNA is filed under the name uncultured bacterium. Its description in RNAcentral is "bacterial SSU rRNA". It matches the Rfam family "Bacterial small subunit ribosomal RNA", at positions 30 to 507 of the family's 1533-position model. The record is from RNAcentral.